GGAGAAAUGGCCGAGUUGGCUGAAGGCGCUCGCCUGCUAAGCGGGUAUGGGGGUUAAACUCCAUCCAGGGUUCGAAUCCCUGUUUCUCCGCCA
This 93-nucleotide transfer RNA is filed under the name Deltaproteobacteria bacterium. Its description in RNAcentral is "tRNA-Ser". It matches the Rfam family "tRNA". From Rfam's summary of the family: Transfer RNA (tRNA) molecules are approximately 80 nucleotides in length. Their secondary structure includes four short double-helical elements and three loops (D, anti-codon, and T loops). Further hydrogen bonds mediate the characteristic L-shaped molecular structure. tRNAs have two regions of fundamental functional importance: the anti-codon, which is responsible for specific mRNA codon recognition, and the 3' end, to which the tRNAs corresponding amino acid is attached (by aminoacyl-tRNA synthetases). tRNAs cope with the degeneracy of the genetic code in two manners: having more than one tRNA (with a specific anti-codon) for a particular amino acid; and 'wobble' base-pairing, i.e. permitting non-standard base-pairing at the 3rd anti-codon position. The record is from RNAcentral. Lineage: Bacteria; Pseudomonadati; Myxococcota; Myxococcia.